AUGCGAAACAGUGGGGGUAGCCCCUCUGUCUGCCCGGCGUGGUGGCUGGGCACUGAUGAGCAGCCGACC
This 69-nucleotide non-coding RNA is filed under the name Aeromonas hydrophila AD9. The record is from RNAcentral. Lineage: Bacteria; Pseudomonadati; Pseudomonadota; Gammaproteobacteria; Aeromonadales; Aeromonadaceae.